Molecule: ribosomal RNA, 442 nt
Filed under: uncultured bacterium
Lineage: Bacteria
Description: partial 16S ribosomal RNA
Rfam family: Bacterial small subunit ribosomal RNA
Source: RNAcentral
CCUACGGGAGGCAGCAGUAGGGAAUCUUUCACAAUGGGCGAAAGCCUGAUGGAGCAACGCCGCGUGCAGGAUGAAGGCCUUCGGGUUGUAAACUGCUUUUAUAAGCGAGAAAUAUGAUGGUAACUUAUGAAUAAGGAUCGGCUAACUAUGUGCCAGCAGCCGCGGUCAUACGUAGGAUCCGAGCAUUAUCCGGAGUGACUGGGUGUAAAGAGUUGCGUAGGUGGCAUAAUAAGUAGCUAGUGAAAUCUGGUGGCUCAACCAUUCAGACUAUUAGCUAAACUGUUAAGCUCGAGACCGUUAGGGGUAACUGGAAUUUCUAGUGUAGGAGUGAAAUCCGUAGAUAUUAGAAGGAACACCAAUAGCGUAGGCAGGUUGCUGGGACGGUUCUGACACUAAGGCACGAAAGCGUAGGGAGCAAACGGGAUUAGAUACCCCAGUAGUC